Molecule: non-coding RNA, 975 nt
Filed under: Melanoperdix niger
Lineage: Eukaryota; Metazoa; Chordata; Aves; Galliformes; Phasianidae
Description: 12S ribosomal RNA
Rfam family: Bacterial small subunit ribosomal RNA
Source: RNAcentral
AAAAGACUUAGUCCUAACCUUAUUAUUGGUUCCUGCUAGACAUAUACAUGCAAGUAUCCGCACUCCAGUGAAAAUGCCCUCUAACCCUUCUUCACCUGAACAAGAGGAGCAGGCAUCAGGCACACCAGCCCCAAUGGUAGCCCAAAACGCCUUGCUAAGCCACACCCNNNNNNNNNNNNNNNNNNNNNNNNNNNNNNNNNNNNNGUGUAAACUUGACUUAGCCAUAGCAACCUCAGGGUUGGUAAAUCUUGUGCCAGCCACCGCGGUCAUACAAGAAGCCCAAAUCAAUAAUCACCCGGCGUAAAGAGUGGCCAUAUGUUAUCUACACCAACUAAGAUCGAAACGUAACCAAGCUGUCAUAAGCCAAAGACCCGCAUAAGCCCAACCCCCAAACAUCUUAGACCACACGACCAAUUUCAACCCACGAAAGCCAGGACACAAACUGGGAUUAGAUACCCCACUAUGCCCGGCCAUAAAUCUUAAUACUUCCCUACUUACGUAUUCGCCUGAGAACUACGAGCACAAACGCUUAAAACUCUAAGGACUUGGCGGUGCCCCAAACCCACCUAGAGGAGCCUGUUCUAUAACCGAUAAUCCACGAACCACCCAACCACCCCUUGCCAACACAGCCUACAUACCGCCGUCGCCAGCCCACCUCAAUGAAAGAUCAACAGUGAACUCAAUAGUUUACCCCACUAGCAAGACAGGUCGAGGUAUAGCCUAUGGGUUGGAAGAAAUGGGCUACAUUUUCUAACAUAGAACAUACGAAAAAGAACAUGAAAUUAGUUCUUAGAAGGCGGAUUUAGCAGUAAGAUGAAACCAUACCCAGUUCACCUUAAGCUGGCCCUGAGGCACGUACAUACCGCCCGUCACCCUCUUCACUAAGCCACCACUAAUAAUAAAUAAUACCCCACAGGCCAAAAGACGAGGCAAGUCGUAACAAGGUAAGUGUACCGGAAGGUGCACUUAGACCAA